Molecule: non-coding RNA, 342 nt
Organism: Salvia hispanica
Lineage: Eukaryota; Viridiplantae; Streptophyta; Magnoliopsida; Lamiales; Lamiaceae
Source: RefSeq, a predicted model, not a curated record
GGUCGGCUGGUUUGACCAUAUCCCAGAUUUCAUCCCUCACAUCCUCGAUACAAAGUUCAUAGUUGCCACCUUCAAUCCAUUUCUGGUGAACAUCCCUGUUUCACACACGGUCAUACUCGAGCUACAUACAGGAAUUCCAGCAGCUAUUUUUUCGAGAGUUUCAUGAAACAUUCGGGAAGAAAAACUGAGCAACAAAUGGCCUUUGUGAUGCUCCUGCUUUUUAAUGCAAGAAAGACAGGGGCAACUUAGAAGUGAGCCAACUAGUAGAACUGCAGCCAACCUCGUUUAUGAGGAUCACAGAAGAAGAAGAAUUUGUGGGCAGCUAUGCGACAAUACAUCUGC